RNAcentral lists this ribosomal RNA (321 nucleotides) under uncultured Pseudomonadota bacterium. Its description in RNAcentral is "bacterial SSU rRNA". It matches the Rfam family "Bacterial small subunit ribosomal RNA", at positions 30 to 351 of the family's 1533-position model. Lineage: Bacteria; Pseudomonadati; Pseudomonadota. The record is from RNAcentral.
AUUGAACGCUGGCGGAAUGCUUUACACAUGCAAGUCGAACGGCAGCACGGACUUCGGUCUGGUGGCGAGUGGCGAACGGGUGAGUAACAUAUCGGAACGUAUCCAAUAAUGGGGGAUAACUAAUCGAAAGGUUGGCUAAUACCGCAUACGCCCUGAGGGGGAAAGCUAGGGAUCUUCGGACCUGGCGUUAAUGGAGCGGCCGAUAUCAGAUUAGGUAGUUGGUGGGGUAAAGGCCUACCAAGCCAACGAUCUGUAGCUGGUCUGAGAGGACGACCAGCCACACUGGGACUGAGACACGGCCCAGACUCCUACGGGAGGCUG